Non-coding RNA from Salvelinus sp. IW2-2015, 620 nucleotides. The record is from RefSeq and is a predicted model, not a curated record. Lineage: Eukaryota; Metazoa; Chordata; Actinopteri; Salmoniformes; Salmonidae.
UUCCAUUAACUACUUCCGGUGGAUAUGUCCACAUCUGGACCAAUUCGCUUAGGUAGCUAGUUAGCGAUCUAUCUAUCUAGCUACAUACAUCCAUAUACUCACUUGACCAAUCUAGAUAGAUUAGACACAUUAGUGAAUGAUACCGAUACUCUCACGUAUGAUCGAAUGUUAUUUGCUUUCAUUGAUAGGUGCAACAACUGAACAAUCAGAGGCCCAGACGUGUCUAUGUCCCACCUGUACGGACGGCAGGGAGAGGAGGAGGAGGAGGGGGUAGAGGUAGAGAAGUUUGAGGUGACCGAAUGGGACCUGGCCAAUGAAUUUAACACAGAGCGCUGCAGACACAGACAGACCAAAGAAGAGMCCGUCUAUGGCAUCUGGGCAGAGAGGGGAGACUCCGACGAUGAGAGACCCAGCUUCGGAGGGAAGAGGGUGGUAAUUUCCGUGGCAACAGCCAGUCCCAGAGGUCUGGGUUUGCAGCUGGUAUCCGGGCUGGAGGAGACCUGGGCACCUGGGAGAAACACAAAGGGGAUUGGCCAGAAACUCAUCCAGAAGAUGGGCUACACACCAGGGAAAGGACUGGGGAAGAACGUAUGGGGGGGAGUAAUGGAGAUAGAGGAAAG